GCAGGGAGGGCCGUUAAAGUUCGUGAGAAACUGAGAGAAAAGAUUCAGGAAAAGUAGAAAGGGAACGCCAUGAACAAGCGAUAGCCAGAGAGCGGACAUAAAUCGGAACCUGCCUCAGAUGGCGGGCUAAACCCGACGUAAGGGUUUGUUGGGCUGAGCAACUACCGCGGAGCACCCCGCUGUCCCAGGCCCGGCCUGCCCCGAGAGUGGGAGGGUCCGCGGGGAAAGGUCCCCUGAACCCGGGCCAGGCAGCGACUCCUGCGGAGAGGUCUGAUGUUAAGCUUGCCGUGUCGGCGGGCUAAGAGUUCGACCCGACGAGGGCUAAGCGAGCGGCAACGAUCCCCUUAGGAACAUUCAAAGAAG
RNAcentral lists this ribosomal RNA (363 nucleotides) under Triticum aestivum (bread wheat). Its description in RNAcentral is "partial small subunit ribosomal RNA". The record is from RNAcentral. Lineage: Eukaryota; Viridiplantae; Streptophyta; Magnoliopsida; Poales; Poaceae.